RNAcentral lists this ribosomal RNA (253 nucleotides) under uncultured bacterium. RNAcentral's name for it is "partial 16S ribosomal RNA". It matches the Rfam family "Bacterial small subunit ribosomal RNA", at positions 524 to 776 of the family's 1533-position model. The record is from RNAcentral.
UACGAAGGGGGCUAGCGUUGUUCGGAAUUACUGGGCGUAAAGCGCGCGCAGGCGGUUUCUCAAGUCAGUGGUGAAAGCCCGGAGCUCAACUCCGGAACUGCCAUUGAAACUGUGAAACUUGAGGACGAGAGAGGUGAGUGGAAUUCCCAGUGUAGAGGUGAAAUUCGUAGAUAUUGGGAAGAACACCGGUGGCGAAGGCGGCUCACUGGCUCGUUUCUGACGCUGAUGCACGAAAGCUAGGGGAGCAAACAGG